GACGAACGCUGGCGGCGUGCUUAACACAUGCAAGUCGAACGGAAAGGCCCCAGCUUGCUGGGGUACUCGAGUGGCGAACGGGUGAGUAACACGUGGGUGAUCUGCCCUGCACUCUGGGAUAAGCCUGGGAAACUGGGUCUAAUACCGGAUAGGACCGUGCUUUAGUGUGUGCGGUGGAAAGUUUUUCGGUGCAGGAUGAGCCCGCGGCCUAUCAGCUUGUUGGUGGGGUAAUGGCCUACCAAGGCGGCGACGCGUAGCCGGCCUGAGAGGGUGUACGGCCACAUUGGGACUGAGACACGGCCCAGACUCCUACGGGAGGCAGCAGUGGGGAAUAUUGCACAAUGGGCGCAAGCCUGAUGCAGCGACGCCGCGUGGGGGAUGACGGCCUUCGGGUUGUAAACCCCUUUCGGCAGGGACGAAGCUUUUGUGACGGUACCUGCAGAAGAAGCACCGGCUAACUACGUG
This 465-nucleotide ribosomal RNA is filed under the name uncultured bacterium. Its description in RNAcentral is "partial 16S ribosomal RNA". It matches the Rfam family "Bacterial small subunit ribosomal RNA", at positions 28 to 507 of the family's 1533-position model. The record is from RNAcentral.